GAGAGAGAGAGAGAGAGAGAGAGUAAUUGAAAGACAGUGAUUUAUGUAUUUAACUUGACAGCUUGAAUUGGCAUCAUACAUUGUUGAAUGACCCUCCACGUCCGGUCAUUCAAAAACAGAACAGCAAAUUGUUGCAUAUUCCAGAUGGGAAGGAGUUGAGUUUGAAUCCGAUACCUUCAUCCAAUUUCACCAGGAUGAGCUGCACUUCCUUGCCAUACACAAGACUCACCUUGCAGUAUAUGAAACCAAAGAACUAGCAUGCGCUCAGAAGUGGGUUCCAAGUUUUUCUGCAGAUAUUUCUCAUGCAACAUACUCAGGUGAUAGCCUGACGGUACAUGCCAGCUUUUUUUAUGGAACUAUAGCCAUACUUGGUGCUUCAACUGUUGAACUACGUUGUCAAAUCAAUCCCUCCGAUCACCUUCCUGCUGAUAUAAGGUAAUACCGGUUGCAUCAUUUGAUGAAUAAAACUCGGUGAACUUUGACGACACUUGACCCCAAAUUCGAGCGUUUUUGUAGAAUGUCGCAUAAUCUCCCUUCCGAUUUUAGUUAAAAUUUGAGAUUUCCGUUCAAAAGUUGCACAUUAAAUCAUUUCAUGGGUAUUUUUGUUAUG
This is a long non-coding RNA of Pyrus x bretschneideri (Chinese white pear), 610 nucleotides long. RefSeq lists it as uncharacterized. The transcript has 2 exons. The record is from RefSeq and is a predicted model, not a curated record. NCBI's taxonomy places the organism in Eukaryota, Viridiplantae, Streptophyta, Magnoliopsida, Rosales, Rosaceae.